CCUGGAGGUGCUGAAGCUCAGCACCUGAGUUUCCUGGGUGAUUUGGGGCCACUGGCAUUGUGCAGCCCUGUUUUCUGGUUCCAGCACCAGCCGCAAUCUUUUGGGGUGAGGGUGGGUGUGUGGACCUCCCAGUCUGAGAGCCCCUGAAGCCAUGGCUGGGCAGGGCUGAGUCUGGCAUGGGAGCAGAUGAGGUCUUUGCCUUCAAAUGAAUCCCUCCCCAAGUCAAGCCCCAGCCACACGCUCUUCCCCCAGCCACAGGUGCUGACCCCCACCUCUCCCUGGGGGGCUACGAGGCCGGAGGCGUCCGGGUGCUGUGUCGAUCGGCCGGCUGGUACCCGCUGCCGCAGCUGCUGUGGAGGGAUGCUCGUGGGCAGCACCUGCCCUCAGACCCCCAGACACAUUCCCAGGACCAGGAGGGGCUCUUUGAAAUCAAAGGCGCCAUCACCGUGACCGGGAGUGUGGAGGGGCCCUUGUCCUGUGUGGUCAGGAACAGCCGCCUGCAGCAGGAGUGGAAAUUUUCCCUGCACAUCGCAGGUACAAAUGGCACAGCCAGGGUGAGGUGUUCCUGGCCCCUGCACUUGUCCUGAGCUGGGAGAAGUCUGGGUCUUGCUUUUCCACACAUGGGCAUGGAAACGCAGCCCUUUUCCUGGUGUCUUUUCUCAGCUCCCUUCUUCCACAAUGCCCAGCCCUGGAUGGUGGCUCUGUCUCUGGUCCUCGUGCUUUUGGCUGUGUCCAUUGGCCUCGGUGUUUAUCUCUUUCGAAUGCAAGCGGCACAGAGGCGAGAGCUGGGUGAGUCCUUGCAGUCCCUGCCCCCAGCCCCUGGGGAAGUGGUGUCCCUGAGGGAGGCACUGGUCUGGGUGGGCUCCGGGGGCUUGUGUGCUGGUGGCUCAUGGGUGCUGGAGGAGCAGCUGGAGCCUGGGGUGGGAGUGGGGAGUGCUGGGGCUGGGGCUGCCCUGGGCACGGGACACGGCCAGGAAGGCUGAAAGGAACAGGGAUCAAGGUGGGGAUGGGAAGCUAGCUGCGGGGCUGCCCCGCUCUGUACUGACGCUUCUGGGACAGGGACGUCCUCCACCCAUCCCCAUUCACUUCCACUUGUGUUUUGGUGGCACGGUGCAGAGAGCUGCACAAGUGUCUGUCCUUACUGCUCCACAUGCACAAGCCUUGCUGAAACCUCAGUUUUGCUCCAUGUUAGUCUUGUCCCACCAAAACUUGGAGGAAGGUGCUCUGUGCACACUCACCUCAGAAAAAUAAUUAAGGGUGUAUCUAUGGGAGUAGCCAUGGAAUGUGAAGCACUGCCUUCUGGUCACAUAUUGACUUUUCUUUCCUUUUCCAUUAAAAAAGCUGGACAGUUAGGUAAGUCUGUAUUCGUAAACCCAAUGU
Molecule: long non-coding RNA, 1380 nt
Filed under: Anas platyrhynchos platyrhynchos (common mallard)
Lineage: Eukaryota; Metazoa; Chordata; Aves; Anseriformes; Anatidae
Description: lncRNA (ENSAPLG00000025976.1)
Source: RNAcentral